UUGGAGGGCAAGUCUGGUGCCAGCAGCCGCGGUAAUUCCAGCUCCAAUAGCGUAUAUUAAAGUUGUUGCAGUUAAAAAGCUCGUAGUUGAAUUUCGGGGUCAGUAGGUCGGUCGUGCCACUGGUAUGAACUGGUUUUACUGAUUCCUCCCUCUUGAAGAACUGUAAUGCCAUUAAUUUGGUGUUGCAGGGAAUCAGGACUGUUACUUUGAAAAAAUUAGAGUGUUUAAAGCAGGCUUUAGCUUGAAUACAUUAGCAUGGAAUAAUGAAAUAGGACGUUUGAUCCUAUUUUGUUGGUUUCUAGGAUUGACGUAAUGAUUAAUAGGGAUAGUUGGGGGCAUAGUAUUCAAUUGUCAGAGGUGAAAUUCUUGGAUUUAUUGAAGACUAACUACUGCGAAAGCAUUUGCCAAGGAUGUUUUCAUUAAUCAAGAACGAAAGUUAGGGGAUCGAAGACGAUCAGAUACCGUCGUAGUCUUAACCAUAAACUAUGCCGACUAGGGAUCGGAUGAUGUUAAUUUUUUAAUGACUCAUUCGGCGCCUUACGGGAAAC
RNAcentral lists this ribosomal RNA (548 nucleotides) under uncultured Glomeromycotina. RNAcentral describes it as "SSU rRNA". It matches the Rfam family "Eukaryotic small subunit ribosomal RNA", at positions 548 to 1098 of the family's 1831-position model. Lineage: Eukaryota; Fungi; Glomeromycota. The record is from RNAcentral.